Molecule: unclassified non-coding RNA, 415 nt
Filed under: soil metagenome
Description: partial contains 5.8S ribosomal RNA, internal transcribed spacer 2, and large subunit ribosomal RNA
Rfam family: 5.8S ribosomal RNA (bases 1-120)
Source: RNAcentral
GAUGAAGAACGCAGCGAAAUGCGAUAAGUAAUGUGAAUUGCAGAAUUCAGUGAAUCAUCGAAUCUUUGAACGCACCUUGCGCUCCUUGGUAUUCCUUGGAGCAUGCCUGUUUGAGUAUCAUGAAAUUCUCAAAGUCAAUCCUUUUUGUUAAUUCAAUUGGUAUUGCUUUGGACUUGGAGGUCUUUGCAGAUGUCACAGUCUGCUCCUCUUAAAUUUAUUAGCUGGAUCUCAGUAUAACACUUGGUUCCACUCGGCGUGAUAAGUAUCAUUCGCUGAGGACACUGUAAAAGGUGGCCAGGAAAUUUACAGAUGAACCGCUUCUAAUAGUCCAUUUACUUGGACAAUUUACUUUAUGAUCUGAUCUCAAAUCAGGUAGGACUACCCGCUGAACUUAAGCAUAUCAAUAAGCGGAGGA